AGCUGGUGAGGAGGACCAACGCAGUGAAGUGGCUGUACGCGUCACAUUUCCCCCAACCUUCGAUGCUUAUUCCUCAGCCGAUAACCAGGAUGUCAUAUCCUUUCUACGCUGUCAGGCCACAGAUUCACGCAUACCUUCCUCGCCUUCCUCUCCUGUACCACGCUGAUCCAGUAGAUAGGCUGGCACUGCG
Hypanus sabinus (Atlantic stingray) is the source of this 190-nucleotide long non-coding RNA. RefSeq lists it as uncharacterized. The transcript has 3 exons. Lineage: Eukaryota; Metazoa; Chordata; Chondrichthyes; Myliobatiformes; Dasyatidae. The record is from RefSeq and is a predicted model, not a curated record.